UGGGGAAUAUUGCACAAUGGGCGAAAGCCUGAUGCAGCAACGCCGCGUGCGGGAUGACGGCCUUCGGGUUGUAACCGCUUUCAGCUCCGACGAAGCGCAAGUGACGGUAGGAGCAGAAGAAGGACCGGCCAACUACGUGCCAGCAGCCGCGGUGAUACGUAGGGUCCGAGCGUUGUCCGGAAUUAUUGGGCGUAAAGGGCUUGUAGGCGGUUUGUCGCGUCGGAAGUGAAACUCAGGGCUUAACCCUGAGCCUGCUUCCGAUACGGGCAAACUAGAGGAAUGCAGGGGAGAAUGGAAUUCCUGGUGGAGCGGUGGAAUGCGCAGAUAUCAGGAGGAACACCAGUGGCGAAGGCGGUUCUCUGGGCAUUUCCUGACGCUGAGAAGCGAAAGCGUGGGGAGCGAAACAGGCUUAGAUACCCUGGUAGUCCACGCCGUAAACGGUGGGCACUAGGUGUGGGACUCAUUCCACGAGUUCCGUGCCGUAGCUAACGC
RNAcentral lists this ribosomal RNA (492 nucleotides) under uncultured Actinomycetes bacterium. RNAcentral's name for it is "bacterial SSU rRNA". It matches the Rfam family "Bacterial small subunit ribosomal RNA", at positions 355 to 858 of the family's 1533-position model. Lineage: Bacteria; Bacillati; Actinomycetota; Actinomycetes. The record is from RNAcentral.